Molecule: ribosomal RNA, 504 nt
Filed under: uncultured Nitrospira sp.
Lineage: Bacteria; Pseudomonadati; Nitrospirota; Nitrospiria; Nitrospirales; Nitrospiraceae
Description: bacterial SSU rRNA
Rfam family: Bacterial small subunit ribosomal RNA
Source: RNAcentral
UAGUUUGAUCCGUGCUACAGAACGACGCUGGCGGCGCGCCCUAAUACAUGCAAGUCGAACGAGAAUGUGUAGCAAUACACAUGUACAGUGGCGAACGGGUGAGGAAUACAUGGGUAACCUACCUCGAUGGGGAAUAACUAGCCGAAAGGUUAGCUAAUACCGCGUACGCUUCCCGGACUGCGGUUCGGGAAGGAAAGCGAUACCGUGGGUAUCGCGCUCUUGGAUGGGCUCAUGCCCUAUCAGCUUGUUGGUGAGGUAACGGCUCACCAAGGCUUCGACGGGUAGCUGAUCUGAGAGGAUGAUCAGCCACACUGGCACUGCGACACGGGCCAGACUCCUACGGGAGGCAGCAGUAAGGAAUAUUGCGCAAUGGGCGAAAGCCUGACGCAGCGACGCCGCGUGGGGGAUGAAGGUCUUCGGAUUGUAAACCCUUUCGGGAGGGAAGAUGGGAUGGGGUAACCCAUUCGGACGGUACCUCCAGAAGCAGCCACGGCUAACUUCGUG